RNAcentral lists this long non-coding RNA (21694 nucleotides) under Mytilus galloprovincialis (Mediterranean mussel). The record is from RNAcentral. Lineage: Eukaryota; Metazoa; Mollusca; Bivalvia; Mytilida; Mytilidae.
CCAAAUAACAGUGUAGGAUUUAACACAUUAAUACGGAUAGUAAUAUGUACAGGGUUUUAUACUUUAUAAAUAUUAGUGAAAUCAAGAUGGAUAUAUGUGUUAAUUCUUUGCCUGAACUAUAACCUAACUACUGGACCACUGUGCAUGGUGAGUACGGCUUCUUUUUGGUAAUCAUAAUAUACUUAUCGAAAAACGUUAUGCAACAGAACAUCAUAUUGAAAAUUAUGUGAACCAAAAUAUCCAUUUAUCUUUCAAGUUUUUUAUCUUCAGUUAUUGGUUUGUUCAACAAUUCUUCAACUAUGUUGAUCAAAUUUCAAAAAACUAUACUUUUCGCAACCUUAAGGAGGUUCGCUACUCUGUCUAAAAACAACAAGCUUUUUUAAAGACUGUUAGAAAUUGAUAGUAUAUAAAUAAACUAACUAAAAAAGCAGAAAAAAUGGAGGGUCCAUGUGCUUGUUUUCGAGAUAUAAACCACUGCAAAUUUGGCGGGAAAUUAUUUGCCUAGAUUUUUCUUUCACUUAACAUUGGCACCUUUUUUGUUUAAAGAAAAUAUGAAAAAUAACAAGGAUUCAAAAGAUUUUGAAAUAUGGCAUUUUAAACAAUAUUUAAUAAGAAUAUGAAAAGAAAAGAGGGGGUUAGUGGGUAAAUUUUUGUAAUGUUAAUACAUGGAUGAAAACAGAGGAUUCAGAAAAUCUGGCAACAAUUCCAAAAAUAGAGGAGCAAACAUCCUUAAGAGAAGAUGUCAAAAUUGAAAUCAACAGUUAUAACUUUUUUUCUAAUGGAAAAAAAAGAUUACAACGCACAACUUUGGGGAUUUAAAUCCCAUCCAUGAUGAAUUAUAUCAAUGCAUAAAUUCGCAGUUUGAGGUGGCACUAUUUUACUCCUAUCUAAUCUUAGUAUUUUCUAAUAACUAAUUUGACAUCAUUUACAAUAGGAAGUAGUUUGAUUUUUUUGAAAUAACGACCUUUUAGGCAAAAAUAGCAAACUUAAUAAAACCUUUCUGAGUUAUGUUGAUUUGAUUGAUAAAUAAAGAGGUAAAUAAAAUCUUAACAUUGAGAAUAAGAUUAGUCCUUGUGAUAUCACUUUGAUUUCAUAAACAUUGCAAGAUUUACGUAUUUUACCCAAAUUAGUUAUUUUCAGCAAUGUUGGUGAUCAACACAUAUAUGAGCAACCGCAUAUUUUACACAAAUAUACAUUGUCUUUUUGACAUAUUCCCCAUUUCCAUUUUCAAUUUUAUCUUUGUAAAACUAAAUUUGCAGCUAGAUUCAUUUAAAGAUAAAGCUAAAUAUCAAUGACUAGAGAUCAACAUAAGGCCAUUUUGGCAGUGUUUGUUGUUUCGGAAUUAAGGUACAAAGUGUGAAGCCCUUAUACCAAUAUGUGGUACAAAAUUUAACACUAAAAAUUCUGAGUACCGACAGAGUAAAGUCAUCAUUUGACUCGGAGGUAGGUCAGUUUGUAGGAUUAUAAUAUGUUUUAAAUUUCGAUUUCAGAAGCUUAAAAGCUUUAUCAUAAACUCAUCAUAGAUACCGGCAUUGAAAUUGUGUAUUUGUGCAAGACGCGCGUUUUGUUUACAAAAGACUCAUCUGAGAAGCUUGAAUAAAAAAAAAGUUUAAAAGGCAUAAAGUCCCGCUCAUCAUGGCAUUGGAUCCCAUUCGUAUCCUCUUCCUCAGUAAUUACCCUAGACCUCAUUUUUUUAAAGUUGAGAACUAAAUACUGCAAAGAAAUUAAUGUGUAAGACAAAUCUUUGUCUUUUGAAUUAAAUAAACAUUUCUUUAACAGUAUAUUCACAAAUCAAUGAUAUUUCAUGUUAACACAAAAGUGCUGACUACUGGGCUAAUGAUAUCAUCGGUGGCGGAAAGACCAACAGCAGUGACAUUUGAAUUUGAAUACCAAAAUAAGAAUAAAAAGCGUAAAUAUGUACGUGUUUUUCCCUUAAAUAGACUUAAAAAAAGGCGAAAGAUACAAGAAGGACAUUUAAACUCAUAAAUUAAAAAUAAUAUGACGUCAUGGCUAAAAAAAGAUACAAACAGACAUAGAAAAAUUACUACUAAGCAACACGUACUCCACCAACUGAGAGUAAUCUCAGGUGAUCCAGAAGGGUAAACAAACCCUCCUUCACAUGUGGCACCAGUCGUAUGGUCAGUGUUAGGACAAACCCUCCUUCACAUGUGGCACCAGUCGUAUGGUCAGUGUUAAGAAAAACCCUCCUUCACAUGUGGUACCAGUCGUAUGGUCAGUGUUAGGACAAACCAGAUAAUAAGUAUGUUCAUUUCAAUGAAUGAGAACAAAUGCUUUUCUAGUCUCAGGUUAUGAUCAUCAAAAAUACUAUAGCUGGCUAUCUAAUAGAGGUUAUACUGUGGAUUCAUUUAUUUUGGUGGGUACCAAUUUUCGUGUAUUGCUGAAAGCUUGCACUUUCGUGGAUAUUUGAUUUUGUAGUUUUCUAAAUCUUUGUAUGCAAUGCCUAUUGAAAUAUUUUUAUCGUUGAACCUUUACAUUUGUGGGUCACAUGUUCCCAUGAAACCCACGACAAUUUGUAUCCAAUAAAUAAACAUGAUUCCACAGUAACUGUGAACAAUGACUAUUAUUUCUAAAGUAUUCAGAACAAGUGUGUCCAUACACGGAUGCCCCACUCGCACUAUCAUUUUACAUGUUCACUUGAAAUUGUCAAUACUUUAAUUUGGCAUUAAAAUUAGAAAGAUCAUAUCAUAGUUAACAUGUGUACUAAGUUUCAAGUUGAUUGGACUUCAACUUCAUCAAAAACUUCCUUGACCCAAAACUUUAACCUGAAGCGGGACGAACGAACGGACGAACGAACGAACGAACGGACGAACGGAGGCACAGACCAGAAAACAUAAUGCCCCUCUACUAUCGUAGGUGGGGCAUAAAAAUAUCUUUUUUUCAUAAAACACUUUGUCUUAUUUCUUCAUGUGAACUUUGAGUUAUGAUAUUGAAAGUGAUGAUGACACGUGUAUAUAAAGAAAAAAAAAUUUAACAAGCCAUUCAAAACAAUAUUUCACCUGCAAAUUUUUAAAUGCAUUUUGAAUCAUAUACCUAUUAAAAUGUUAGUAAUGAACGGUAGCGUUAUAUACAUCUACAGAAGAAUGUUUAUACUGAUCGUUAAAGAUAAAGUUGUAAUAAUAUAAAAAUAGUUUCACUUGAGGUUUAUGAUGUAUUUAAAGUUAUUUAAGGAAUGACUGUAAUAUUUUUUCUGUUUAUGAAGAAAUAACAUAAAAAAAUUGGUGCACACUGAAUAACGCGCGUAGCGGGUUAUUUAACAGUGUGCACCACAUUUUUUAUGUUAUUUUGAAUAGACAGAAAAAUUAAAGUCAUUUCUUAUAAUUGCUUCUAAAUUCAUUUUAACGUAGAAAAUCAGAAAAACGUUGAUGACUCACGUCAAUACUAAAUUAUGCCUAUGGACUAUAACAAAAUACGCAGCAAUCAGAAGACGCGUUACUCCAAAUUAAAUUAUUUCAAGUUAAAGCAUUAAAAAAAAGCUAUAUAAACAUCAUGCAAUUGCAAACAAAAAAGAAACAACAAUGCACUUCUCACACAAAUUUCUAUUCUUUAAGGAUUGACAUGAACACCAGUACAGAAUCGUGUUUUAAUAACAUAACUAUUUUUCAUAAUUAUGUAUUUUUUACAUGUUCGUGUGCGAAAAGAGAUGAAAGAUACCAAGAACAGUCAACCAUAAAUCUAAAACAACUGACAACGCCAUGCUAAAACUGAAAAAGACAAACAAACAAGCAACAUACACAACAUAGAAAACAAAAUGACAACACGAACCCAUCAAAAAACAAGGAUGAUCUAGGGCUCCGGAGGUAACAUGUUCACAUUGGCACCGUCGUGUUGCUAUUAUACAAAUCCGUAAAUAGUUAAUUCGUAGUCAUAUUCAUCAAAGGAAGAGGAUUGUGUUACGAUGAAAGAACAUCCCACAGAUUUGUGAAACGGUAUCAUAAGGUCAACCAAUCGUGAUGGCUCCGUAAAUUUACGAAGGAUAUUUCAACUUCACCAUUUGGACUCUGGUUUAAUAGCUCUUUGUGAGCAGCACCUCUAUCAAGAAAAUCAUGAUAGGAAAUGCAAGCACGGUAUCGUAUCAAUUGGAGAAUAUACCCGUUGUAGGUGCUGCUGGAAUGUUGCUACUUAGAAAUGAAACGUUCACAAUUGGAAGCUGAAAUCAUCUCUUUUGUUCGAAAGUUUUGUUUUCAACCGACGCUUAUUGUCAAUUUCUAGAUGUAAGUCAAGAAUGAGGCGACUUAAUGUAUCUGGUAGUAUCUGUUAUUCUAGCUCGAUAGGAUAGAUGCGUCCACAGUCCAAUUUUGAAUUAUUUAGUGAAAGAACAUCAUCUAUAUAGCGAAAUUAGGUUAAGAUAUUACUAACUUCUUAUCUUUCUUCCUAAGAGUCCUGCAUGAAGUCACCUCAUAUAAUAAAGAACAGAUACAGAUACUCAUCGCAAGCUGAAUAGUUUUUGAUUUUAUAGGUAAUUAUAAAACAUCAUCGUCUGGCUCAUGGGACGUUGACGAUCUACUUUUGAUGCAAUUUUAUCAUUCUAUUUUACAACCCCUCCCCCGGCCCCUUAUCCAUAAUUUUUGAAUUAACGAUAACGUUGAAAUUCUUUAUCUUAUAUCCUAGUUCUAAUGUGAUUGGUAGAUCUUAUAUGUGUUUACGUAUGCAAGUUUUUAUUUUAUGACUAUUCAAAACAGUAUUUUAUUUUCUCUUUUCAAAUUCAUUUUUCAUCCCGUAUCAACGGAAAAUAUUGUUAACAAAUGGUAGAGUUAAAGACAUCUUCAGAAGCAUAUUUGUUACGAAUAAACAUUAAAAAAGAUUGCGCUGCUUUGUGAUGUAGUAAAAAUUAUUUUUAGUUAAAUCAUUUGUAACAGCCAUUUUGAAAUCGUUCAUUCGAUAAAAGUUUUAAAAAAAAUAUUACACUUUUCAUACGAAUUUAUAUUCUUAAAAGAUUGAAAUGAACUGCAGCAAAUCAUUUUAUUUCUUUAUCAUUAGUUUAUACUACUCUUUUAUAAUUUUGUAAUGAAAUUUUUAUCAAAUAUUAAAACAGGAUGUUGACCAUUUCUUUACGUAUACAUACACGUAUUUAUUUUCAAAACAUUCAAAACAGUAGCGGAUUGCCCUUCAAAAAUGUACUUUAAAUCACAAAAUAAAGGAACGUGAAGUUAAUGGAAGAGUCAUAAAAUUAACAUAAUCUGUAGCGUAUAUAUACUGAUCGUUAUAGAUAAUGUUGUAGUAAACAUAAACAUAAUUUCAGUUAAUGUGUGUGAUGUAGUAAAUUUAUUUUAGUUAAACCAUUUGUAAAAGCCAUGUUGACAUCCUUCAUUUAGCAAAUAAAAAACGAAAAACAUUGCACUUCUUUCACGAAUUUCUAUUCAUAAUUACGUAUUUUUUAACAAAUAUAUACACAGGAUGUUGACCAUAUAUUUGUUUACGUAUGCAAGUACUUAUUUUCAAACGAUUCAAAACAAUAACGGUUUUACCCUUCACAAAUGUACUUUGAAUCACAUAUUAACAGAAAGUGGUAGUUAUGAAGUAAAUGGAAUAGUCAUAAACAUAAUCUGUAUAUAACAGUUUCAGUUGAUGUUUGUGAUGUAUUAAAAGUUAUUUUUAGUUCAAUCAUUUGUCUAAGCCAUGUUGACAUCGUACAUUUGCAAAAAAAUGGCUUUUCUUACAUGAAUUCAAAUUUUCAAAAGAUUGAAAUGAACACGAGUAAAGAAUCAUAUGUUUUAGUUUAAACUACUUUUUAUAAUAAUUGUGUAUUUUUAACCAAUGUCAGUACAUUUUAUUAGUGAUAACGAUAAUAAAAUAUCAUCAACAACAGCUGAAAUAUUUAUACUGAUUGUUAGAGAUUAUGUUGUAAUAAACAUCAAAAGACUUUAGCUUGAUGUUUGUGAUGUAUACGUUGUUUUAGUUCAAUCAUAUGUAAAACGUCAUGUGGACAUCGAGAUAUUAUACAUAAUAAAAGAGACAACUAUAUGUAAACAUGUUUCUCGAAUUAAUUAUCCUAAAAGAUUGGGAUGAACACCAGGAAAGAAUCUUAUUUUAUUAAAAUUAAUUUAAUCUACUUUUCUAUAUGAUGAUUUUGUAACAAAUAUCAGCACAGGAUGUUAGUGAUUACGCUUAUAGAUAUUCAUCUGCACCAGCUAAAUAUUUAUACUGAUUGUUAAAGAUAUUGCUGUAGUAAAACAUGAUCGUCUAUCUCAUGGGAAAAUAUUGAAUGUUUUCGUGAUGAAAGGAUGUUAUGAUAAAAUUACCUUUCAUGCUCACUGUAAUUAGUUGAAUUUUAUUUACCUUAUCAUACUUUUUGAAUUCGAAAAGGAAACAUAUCAAAGCUGAAAACUGACUUGAUGACUUUUUUUGAAUACAUUUCUCAAUCAUUGACUUAUCACUUUUGUUCGAUUACGAAUAUAAUGAAAUAUAUGAUUUCGAAAGUUAGGAGCACCUGAGAAUCACCAUAGUUUUUGGUGGGUUCGUGUUGUUUAUUCUUUAGUUUUCUAUGUUGUGUCGUGUGUACUAUUGUUUUUCUGUUUGUUUUUUCAUUUUUAGCCAUGAGUUGUCAGUUUGUUUUAGAUUUUGAGUUUGACUGUCCCUUGGUAUUUUCGUCCCUCUUUUUUAGGACUAUCAAAAAUAGAACUAAUAUUAAAACAUAAUUCGCCAAACAGUCUUUUGAAUGUUAACGUAGACAAUUUGAGUUUAUUUUUCAGUAUCAACUUUGAAUCAUAUAUCAAAUUAUAUAUUUAAAGAACUGUAUGCAUGAAAACUUUUAAUAAGAUUUGAUUCGCACAAAUUAAGCUCUUUGAAUCGUGAUAAUUGAAAUAAAUUGAAUAUAAUAUGAUAAUUGAACAAAUUGACAUGACAUUUCAAGAUGUAUUUUAUCCAAAUAGAAUGUGAUUAAUACAUAUAAUCGGAUAGUAAUAUGUACAGAGCUUUAUGCUUUAAAUAUUAGUGAAAUGAAGAUGAUAUAUGUGUUUAACUUCUUUGUCUGAACUAUAACCUAACUACUGAACCUGUGCAUGGUGAGUACGCUUCUUUUGGUAAUCAUAAUAUACUUAUCGAAAAAAGUUAAACAACAGACAUCAUACUGAAAAUUAUGUGAACCAAAACUCCAUUUAUCUUUUAAGUUUUUUAUCUUCCGUUAUUGUUUGUUCAACAGUUCUUCAACUAUGUUGUCAAAUUUCAAAAGCUAUACUAUUCGCAACUAAGGAGGUUCGCUACUCUGUCUAAAAAUAACAAGCCUUUUAAAGACUGUUAGAAAUUGAUAGUAUAUAAAUAAAUAACCUAAAAAGGCAGAAAAAAUGGAGGUCCGUGUUCUUGUUUUCGAGAUAUAACAUCUGAAAAUUGGCGGAAAUAAUUCUCUAGAUUUUUAUUUCACUUAACAUUGCAUUUUUGUUAAAAAAAUAUGAAAAAAUAAGGAUUUCAUAAGAUUUUUGAAAAUAAUGCAUUUUUAAACAAUAUGUAAUACAAAUAUGAAAAGAAAAGUAGGGGUUAGUGGGUAUUUGUAAUGUUAAUACAUGGAUGAAACAGAGAUCCGAAAAUCUGGCAAAAAUUCAAAAAAUAGAGAGCAAACAUCCUUAAGAGAAGAUGUCAAAAUUGAAAUCCACAGUUACAACUUUUUUCUAAUGGAAAAAGAUUACAAAGCACAAUUUGGGAUUUAACAUCAAUGCCAUGAGAAUUAUAUCAAUGCAAAAAAUUCGCAGUUUGAGGUGGCACUAUUUUACUCCUACCAAUCUUAGUAUUUUCUAAUAACUAUUUGACAUCAUUUACAAUAAGAAUAGUUUGAUUUUUCUGAAAAUAACGACCCUUAAGGCAAAAAAGCUAACUUAAAUAAACCAUUCGAAUUAUUUUGAUUUGUUUGAUAUAUAAAGAGGUAAAUAAAUCUGAACUUGAGAAUAAGAUCAUGCAGAUUAGUCCUUGUGAUAAAUAAGAGGUAAAAAAAAUCUGAAGAUUGAGAAUAAGAUUAUCUUGUGAUAAUAAAGAGGUAAAUAAAAUCUGAACAUUGAGAAUAGAUUAGUCCUUGAGAUAUCACUUUGAUUUCACAACAUUGCAAGAUUUACGUAUUUUAGCCAAUUAGUUAUUUUGAGCAAUGUUGGUGAUCAACACAUAUAGAGCAACUGCAUAUUUUACACAAAUAUAAAUUGUCUUUUUGACAUAUUCCCCAUAUUCCAUUUUCAAUUUUAUCUUGUAAAACUACAUUGCAGCUAGAUUCAUUUAAAUAAAGUAAUAUUAAUGCUAGAGAUCAACAUAAGGCCAUUUUGGCAGUGUUGUUGUUUCGGAAUUAAGGUACAAAUUUAAAGCCUUAUGUGGUACAAAAAAAAGUAAAAUCACAAAAAUCCUGAACUCAGGGAAAAUCAAUUCGGAAAGUCUAUAAUCAUGGCAAAAAAANNNNNNNNNNNNNNNNNNNNNNNNNCCCACACCGAGGAGAUUUGUUUUAUUCUAAAAUUUGCUUGUUACAAGACAAAAUGUUAGAAAUUAUUUAAAUUAAGGAAUGUAUCUCCCUCAUGCAAAGCUCUGAUUCCUUUCAUGAAUUUGGCUAUACUUUUGAAACUUUGGAUUAUAGCUCUUCAUCUUUUAUAUAAGCUUUGGAUUUCAAAUAUUUUGGUCACGAGCAUCACUGAGAGACAUGUAUGUCGAAUUGAGCAUCCGGUGCAGAAAAAUUGGUACCUUUAAUUGUUAUACUACCACUGGGUCGAUGCCUCUGCUGGUGGACUGUUAGUCCGCGAGGUAUACACAGCCCAGUAGCCAGUACUCCGGUACUUGCAUGAAAAUACGGUUUUUGUUUUAUUAAAAUUUGCCUGUUACAAACUGUUAGAAAUAUUAUAAAUUAAGAUGUAUCUCCCUCAUGCAAAGCUCUGAUUCUUCAUGGAUUUGGCUAUACUUUUGAACUUUUGGAUAUACUCUUCAUCUUUUAUAUAAGCUUUGGAUUCAAAUAUUUUGGCCACGAGGCAUCACUUAAGAGACAUUGAUGGUCAAAAUGCGCAUCUGGUGCAGAAAAUUGGUACCGUUAUUGUUAUAUUAACAUCCUCAUUUUGUUGUAUAUCAUACGAUUUAAUUUAUCUAUGUAAAAUGCACCCAUAAAGGAUGGAGGGUUUUAAGUAGUGGGUGAAAAUUGCACGUUUGAAAUUCGCAGCAGGUGACAUGAAAUAUUUUGACGUUCAAAGUAUGACGGGAUACAUAAAUACAGUCACGUAAAAUAGAAAUAACAAAAACAGACUUAACAGUAAAGUAAUAAAUAUAAAUAAGAUGUAUGUGUGUUCAAAUUAAAAUCGUCUCGUUUGUCACAGAUUCUGGUAUGAGAUGACUGUGUAAGUCAAUUACGAGAUGUAAGUCUAAAUUUAAAACUAAAAUAACUGAGUACGACAGAGUAAAGUCAUCAUCUGAGGUAGGUCAGUUUGUAGGAUUAUAAUAUGUUUUAAAUUUCGAUUUCAGAGCUAAAAUCUUUAUCAUAAACUCAUCAUAGAUACCGUGCAUUGAAAUUGUGUAUUUGUGCAAGGACGCGCAUUUGUUUACAAAAACUCAUCAGAGAAGCUUGAAUAAAAAAAAAGUUUAAAAAAAACUAGUUAAUAAUCACAUGCCAUUUUGGAUCCCAAUUAUAACUCGUAUCCUACCUCUUCCUCAUAUUACCCUAGACCUCAUUUUUUAAAGUUGAGAACUAAAUACUGCAAAGAAAUUAAUGGUAAGAAACAAUCUUUGUCUUUUGAAUGAUUAAACAUUUCUUUAACAGAAAAUAUAUUCACAAAUCAAUGAUAUUCUCAUGUUAACAAAAGUGCUGACUACUGGGUAACUGAUAUCAUGUGCGGAAAGACCAACCGCAGUGACAUUUGAAUUUGAAUACCAUAUAGAAUAAAGCGUAAAUAUGUCGUGUUUUUCCCUUAAAUAGACUUAAAAGAAGGCGAAAGAUACAAGAAGGACAUUUAAACUCAUAAAUUAAAAAUAAUCUUGACGUCAUGGCUAAAAAGGAUGACAAACAGACAUAGAAAAAUUAUACUAAGCAACAGUACUCCACCAAAACUGAGAGUAAUCUCAGGUAUCCAGAAGGGUAAACAAACCCUCCUUCACAUUGGCACCUCGUAUGGUCAGUGUUAGAACAAACCCUCCUUCACUGUGGACCAGUCGUAUGGUCAGUGUUAAAACAACUCCUUCACAUGUGCACAGUCGUAUGGUCAGUGUUAGGACAAACCAGAUAAUAAGUUGUUCAUUUCAAUGAAUGAGAAACAAUGCUUUUCUAGUCCAGGUUAUGAUCUUCAAAAAUACUAUAGAAUAGUCGCAUGGCAUUAAAGAAAGGUCGAAUACAUGUUUUUUUCUGUAAUCAAAUCUUAUUGUUGUACGAAAGCUUAAAAACAAGCAGCUUUUUAAACAUGCAUCGUAAUUAACUUUGAGCGUUUAAAAAUUACGACGUCGAAAAUGGCUUUGAAACGACAAUCCUUAGCUAUGUGACGCAACAUAAAAAACAUAAAAAAUAAGCUACAAAACAUUUAAUUGACAUCAAUAAAGAAAGUAGAUAUGUCUAGAAAUCCCGUGUCCUCAGUACUGAUAUGCCGGUUUAAAAAAGAUCCUAUCACUGCUCCUAUAUUUGCAGUAUUUCUUUUUUCUUUACUUAGGUUAUGUGUAUAUAGUAUAAGAAGAUGUGGUAUGGUGCCAAUGAGACAACUGUCCAUCAAAGUCACAUUUGUAAAGUAAACCAUUAUAGGUCAAUGUACGGUCUUCAUACGGAGCCUUUGUUCACAGUGAACAGCUAAUGAUAAAAGAGCCCAAAAACUCACAAGUGUAAAACCAUUCAAACAGUAAAACAACGGUAUAAUCUAUAUAAACUAGAUACAAGAAACACUUAUGAACACAUCAACAAACGAUAACUGCGAAAAUUAGGUUUUUGAGAAAUGCAGCGGGUUGUAAAAUUUGAAAACAGCAGUUUAAUAAUUUCUUGCGUCCGAAGCGCUUUUCUGGAUUUACCUUCAUCAGGAACGCUCAAAGCAAACAUUUGAAAUCCUAAGAUGCAUAAGUACCAAAACCGUAGAAGAGCUACAUGUCAAAAAUAUCUAAAAUAAAUAGCCAAAUUCAUCAUUUUUUUAAAUAUUUCAUAUCAGGAUGGGUUCACGGUCAUGGGAUUUAAACUAGUUAUCUAGAUCUCAAUGCAUCAUAUACUUGAGUCAUAUAUCCUGGACUUAGGUUACAAUUCAAAUGUUUUUGACUUAUUAAUUCAGUUUGAAAUGACAAAUGUUCAUACAAACUGUUUAUAUCCAUGCAUAUUUAAGGGUAAAUUUUGAUCUGAGCGUCACUGGUGAGUCUUAUGUAGACGAAACGCGCGUCUGGCGUACUUAAUUAUAAUCCUGGUACCUUUGAUAACUGGUUAUAUCCAUUCAUAUUUAAGGUUAAUUUGCAAUAUUCUAAUCUUUUGAUCAAUGACAUCAAUAUUGAAAAAUUGCUUUCUGUCGAAGCUCUUUUCUAGCUGUACUUUAAUCUGAAAAGAUGAUUUAUUCCAUUUAUUAUUUAAAUUAUUCAUUUAAGUGAAACGCCUCAAAGAGUUUUUCAUAUUAAUUUCAUAAUUUAAAGGUUUUACCGAGCCUUAAUAUUGAAAAAAACUAGAUAUUCAUAAAUAAAACAUGAAUGUAUCCCAAUGAUUCAAAUAACACGAUUACAUCGUAAAAGCAUUUUUAAGUGAUGAAAUAUUUUUUAUGAUCCUUUUGAUCAACUGUAUUGACAUUUCGUCACUUAGACAAUGUAAAAAAUAAAUUGAAAUAUUCUCAUUAUGAAUAUUAAAAUAUUUUAAGGAGCAAUAGUUUAAAGCUAGUUGACAGGAAUAUGAUAUAAUGGUGCUAUAAUAAAUAUGACAUUUGCGGAUCCAUUUUAUGACAAUUUCCAGCGGAGAAUUUAACACGUAAAAUAAUGAUAGCAAAAAGUGUAUAAAAAAUAUAAAAUUACGUUCAGAAAAUAUAUACAAAUAUAUUAUUAAUGCUAAGCAUGACGAAGUAAAUGUUGCAAUCAACAAGGAUAUUAAUGUGAAUUCUCUAUCAGAUAUAUAGCAAACAUAAAAAUACGCUACUUGGAAGAUAAAUUGCUCUCGGUAAGUUUGACUUUUCUUAAUUGAUUAUGCAGAAUUGUAUUUAUAUCGUAUUGCUUGGUAGUUCUAUUACCAACUGGACUAAGAAGUACUGUUAUCAAAUGCCUGUCAAUCACGUAUUUUAUUUCCUUUAAAAACGUUCAUUGCAUGUUCACAUUGGAAAUGUUUGAACGUAGAGAGUUUUUAUCAUGAUCUUGUUGAAAAAGAAGUUGAAUAUAUAUAACAGAAGGACUUUAAAAACUCAAAAGUCAUAAAAAAAGGUAAAGUUAGAUAGUCAAGAUUAUCUGUCGAAAAGACAAAACAUAAUCUAAAAUCACACUAUCAAAACAACUGAAGACUGAUCUGUUUGCUAAAUACGACUACUGAGGUCCCCUGUUAGUAUUUGUUAAAUUCGCACUUUUCAAAAAAAUGUGCAGAAUUUAUUUUUUGGCAUGAGUAAAACUUUAUCAUGCCUCGUACUAUAGUCAAAAUUUUAUAUAAAAUUUCAUUGAAUAGAAGAAAUACCCAUCAAUUGAAUUAACAAAUCAAAUUUUCAACUCUUUUUUACUUCUGUGCAAGCUUCAAUAACCAUGUAGCCUCAAGUUUCCAAAAUAUCCUGCAGAAACCCCAAAUAAAAACAAAAUGGUGCUUUGAAAUAACCAAUAUAUAUGUUUAUCACACAGACAGUUUUUACUGCAAUGAAAUGUAAGAUAAAUUACCUUCAAUUGUCAAAGUCAAUGCAUUUUUACGACCCUUUUUGGUAUGCAACCGAAUGUGACUUACUAUGAUUUUGUGGUAUUGCAUCUGUAGAAAUAAUUAUUUUUUGGGCCAGUGAAUGUCACAUUAACAUAUCUUAACCUAUCUUACAAGUUGGAGGUUAAGCUAGUUUAAAACCCGGAUUGAUCCACCAUUAUCUUCGAGCAAUUCCUGUUUCAUAAUUAUGAGAGCUACUUACCUUUCUAAUCGUUCGAUAUUAAGUCAAAGUUUUAAUGAACUUACCCUUUUUGAAUGUAACUGUCAUGUUUAUCAUUAUUUUUCUUUUUUUCUUUUUUGUGAGUGCCAACGAGACAACUGUCCACAAAAGACCCAGACAUUAACAACUAUAGGGCAUCGUAAGGCCUUCAAUAACGAUCAAGCUCAUAUUGUAUAGUCAUCUAUAACAAUAUCUAAAAUACCCAAUGCGAAACUAACGGUGGAAGUUAUUUCUAAAAUAAUGAUCGAAAAAUUAUACAGCAACAAACGACAAACACUACAUUAAAGAAUGUGGGGGGGUAAAGUUUGUGUGCUGGCGCUAAAUCCUCCCUCUUUUGGUACCUUUUCAAACCCUUUUUGUCACAUGUGUCAUUUCUUGUCUGUAAUAUAGUAAUAUUAUCUGGCUGUUUCUGUAUUGGCCCUGUUAUAGAUUCGUGGUUAGCUGUAUUGGACCCAAGACUCGAAGAUUGAAAGUUCAAUACAGCUGAUCGAGAAUCUAAAACAGGGGCAAUACAGAAACAGCCAGUUCAUAACCCUUUUAUUAAAUGAUUUGAAAGGAACAUAUAAUGAAGAUGCUACAGAAAUUCAUAUCUGAAAUUGGGGAAACUUUUCUUUUCACAUAUUUCACGUCAAUGGAUUUUUUGUCAACAUUAUCAGAGGUUAUUUCUGAUUUCUCGUCCAAGUACUCAAUAUUUUGCUAUCUAGCUAAUGUAAAGAAGCUAGGAAGAAUAAAUCAGACAGCUUAACUAUUCUCACUCUUUGAUCGUCUGCGUUCUUGUGAUUGGUCAACUGAAAUUAAAACAAUUAUGUCAAUAAUUGAAAGUCGUAUUCGAAACUUUUUAUUCUAUGAUUUUCAUUAAUAAAAAAAAUAAUGUUAAAAAAUGUUUUUAUACAUAACGAUAUGUCCCAAGUUAGAUAAGGCGUAAUAAAAUUUAAACCAGAACUGAACGUCCCGUAUUACAUGUAGCGCAUGGGCCAAUACGAUUUAUUCCGUAUUGGUCCUGUUUGAAAGCAUAAUGAACUCUUGAUUCAAAUCGACAGUGGAAAGUCAUCAGUAUUACACAUUGAUUUGUUCGUAUUACGGCUGAUUUGCUCAUAUCAUAUAAUAAUUUACAUUCUAGUUUGCUAUGUUUUUAACUUUCUAAACGUAAUACCAAAUUAAUAAAGUUGAAAGGUCAGGUCGUCUAUCAAAUCAUAAAAAAUGUAUAUUAGUAUUCAGUAGAUUCGAAGAUUGUUAAAAUCCUCAAUAAUACUUAUGUUAAAUGAUCUUUAAAUCAAAGACAUCCUUAUAUAUAGUAAACGUAAGUUCCGAAAUAUUGCAUGAAAGGGAAAUAGAUACCAUGUACGCAGACUCAAGGAAACAAGGAUCAUAAUUGGGAAACUGACAUCAUAAUAUCUGUCGGAAAGUUUUGUACUCAAAAUAUCGUCAUUGUCUGUUUCGAUUUACAUAUUUAAGUAGAGGGGCUGCGGUGGCCGAGCGGUCUAAGUAAACAUUAGCCAGUCAACAAUGAGGUUGUGAGUUCGAACCCCUCUCAUACGAGUGCACUCGUCUUAAUUUACUAGGAUCAUCAGUUUUUCUUAUAGGAAGUGAGUGGUUUUCACCGGGCACUCCGUAUUCCUCCACCAAUAAAAUCUGGCUGCAACGAAACAGCGGUCCUUAAAAGGGGCGUUUAAACAAAACAAAUCAAAUCUUCCUGUGCUGAGUAAUUAUGACAAUGCCUGUUAUUUUCAACAUCGUUAUUAAACAUCAUUACUAAUCCAAAAUGAGGUCAAAUAACAAAGCAUUUAAUGUAUGUGUGGGAUGAAAUAAACAAUUAUUCUCAUGAUCUUUUUGAACUAAUUGUAGUCUCAUUUCAGUAUCAAAUGAAAAAAAAUGAUUUCCUCUUUUAUAUGCAUGAUUUAUCAAAUCUUUCACAGAGAGACAGUUUAAAGCUAAGUGAACAGAAUAAGAUUUGAUGGAGCAGUAAUUGACAUGAUAUUUUCAGAUGAAAACAGAGUCAAUUUCAGGAAGAAGGCUAUACACGUGUAAAAUGAUAGUAAUGACGACAAUAUAAGAAAUAUAAUCAAGUUGAGAAAAUAUGUAUAAAGAUACUUUGUGUUAUCACGACAGAUAUUAAUGUUAAUUCUCGUUCAUAUAUAAAGCAAAUUCACAUUUUCGCUAUUCGGAAAAUAAAUUGCUCUGAGUAAGUUUUUGGUUUAAAGGUGGUACCUAACACCACACAGGGAGAUAACUCUGUAAAAUUAGCUAACGUUUUAAUCACGUUGUAUUGUUAAGGAAAUAUUAAGCUUCUCAAUGAUCAGAAUGAGUGUUUGUUAAACUGCUAUAUAUCCAACAUUUUUUUCUCCGAGAAAGUCAUUGGUUCAAGUCUUUUGAAAUUUUGAUAUUUUUUCAAAGGGUCAAAGUAAAUAUUUUGUCAAUAAUUUAAUGAAAAUUUAACGAGCCAAAUUAAUUUUAGUCAAGGUGUUUUGUACCACCUUAAUUUAUUAACCUGGAUUUCUUUUCUCUUAACUGAUUUAUGACUUUAGUAGAGAGAUUUCAAAUCAUAAAUAUGUUUUGUAUUCAGUAGAUUCGACAAGAUUAUAAAAAUCUCAGCUAAUAGCGAAUGUUCAUAUUCCUUAAAUAAAGAAUUCCUGAUUAUAGUAAAAGUAAAAUCGAAACGGAUUGUUCCGAAAUAUUACAUAAAGGAAAUAGAUAUGGUUUAAGACUUUGGCUGAAAUAUUUUUAUGAUAAAUAAAACGGGUGAUCAGGAAGUACAUCAUCAUAUCUAUCGUAAAGUUUUGUCUUAUAUCGUCAUUGUCUAUUUCGAUUACAUUGUCAGUGGAUACAGUUUUCGCUAACACGAUUCGAUCUCUGCGCCAGAGGAGGCGGUGGUCGAGAGUUCAAGUAGUUCCUACUUUAACUUACUACCAGUUCAACAAUAAAGUGAGAUGUGCGAACCGCUCUCGUGCAUUGCACUCGACUACAAAUCUUAGUUUAACCGAGGAUUGUCAGUUUUCUAUCGAAGUUAGUGUUUUCUUCCCCGGGCAUAUGGCUACACACACCAAUAAAAAUGGGCCACCGAAAUGCUCAAUAGAGGUCCUAACAAGAGCGAGUUUAAAACAAAACAAAUCUUCCUGCGAUGGGUUCAUUAUGAAUCUGUUAUUUUCAAUCGUAAUAAAACAUUGUCAUAAAUCAAAAUGAAGACAAAAUAAUGAAUUUUGAAAGCAUGUAAUAUGUGUGUGAAGAACAUGAAUAAUUUUUUCAUGAUUAUUUUUUGAAACUAAAAUGAUUUCUCUUUAUAUGCAUGAUUAAAAAAUCAAAUCUCCAGAGAGACAGAUUUUAAAGUAAGUGAACAGUCUAUAUUUGAUGAAUAAUAAUUGAAUUAUUUUUCAGAGAUGAAUACUGAGUCAACUUCAGGAAGAGGGCUGCACAUGUAAAAUGAUAGCAUGAGAAAUAUAAAAAUAUUUCAAGUUUAGAAAAUGUGUUAAGUGUGUUUCAGACAGAUAUAUGUUAAUUCUCAUUCCAGAUAAUAGCAAAUUCAAUUUUCGUAUUCGGAAAAUACAAUUGCUUUAGUAAGUUUUUGGUUUUAAGGUUGGUAUAAAACUCCCAGAGUGAUAACAUCUGCAAAACUAACGUUUUAAUCACGUCUGUGUUGUAUAAGAAAUAUAUCUUUCAAUGAUCAGAAUGAGUGAGUGUCAAACUGCUAUAUAUCCACACAUUCUUUCCGAGAAGAGUCAUUGGUUAAGUUUUUUGAAAUUUUGAUAUUUUUUUUUCAAAGGGUCAAUUAAUAUUUUGUCCAAUAUUUUAAUGAAAAUUUACGAGCCAAAUUAAUUUUAGUCAAGGUGUUGGGUACACCUUAAUUCAUUAACGCUGGUUUUUUUACUUUAACUGAUUUUGACUUGUGAAUACAGUCAUACUAUCUGUUGCUGUAAUAUGAUCUUCUUGACGUUUUAUAUAAUAGUUGACAAUCCGAAUUAGCUUUAAUAUAGUAGUUUUAACCGAUAGAUGACUAGACAGUCGAUAAUUUUAUUAAUUAUUAUAUAUAUUAGAUUUGAUAAAACAGCAUAAUAGAAACUUUUAUUUUACUUCGUUAAACGUCUCCUACUUUUACAGAGAAUUUAUGGUAAAGGGAUUCAUGAAUUAAGAUUGUUUUUGGUAAUUAUUUCUCAUUAGAAAUACUUUUUUUCGUAGAUGUGAUAAAACAUGUAAAAUCUAAUUGUUUGUUGCAUAUAAGCUCAUCAUAGAUACCAGGAUUAAAAUUGUAUAUUUACGUCAGACGCGCGUUUCGUCUACAGAAGACUCAUCAGUGACGCUCGAAUAAAAGAAAUGUUUAAAAGGCCAAAUAAAGUACGAAGUUGAGGAGCAAUUGGAGGACCAAACUCCUUAACGUUUGGCCAAAUACAGUAAGAAUUUUUCCUGUGGUAGAAAGUUAGAAUUUCAAUGCAAAUUUUGUUAACAGUUAAUUAUAAUUAUGAAUAUAGUAAUGAUAACUUCAAGUCACAACAGAAGUGCAUACUGAGAUUGGAGACAUAUUUCAUCAUAGUUAAUAGCGUUCAAAAGUUGUUAUAUCUUGUCAUUGGAUCUUUAUUUGUUUUCUUUGAGACCGUGGUAUCAUCGGUAAGCAGAUUGUUACCCAGCGGCGUGGAUCGUUUGACUGGAUCAGUAUAUAAUCUGUGUUUGUUUUGUUUACAUAAUAGUAAUGUGUACUUAAUCUAUACAUAAUCUGUUUUUUACAAAAUGAUUUGUCGUUAGGUUGAUGACGUAGAGAAGUCUCAUUCCUUUUCAAAAACAAGGAACGCUUACUAAAAACACAGUGCAAAAAAAAGUAAAUCACAAAAAAUACUGACUCCCAGAAGAGAACCUAUUGGAAAGUAGCACACAUACGAAAUCAAAUGACAACAAUAAAAGUGAAAUGGUAAGAUCUGUCAUAAUUUCUGACAUGGACUUGCAUGUUUGAAUGCUUGUCAAAGAAAUUGGUGGUGACAGAAGUUCUUAUUUUUAUUACUCUGAAGAUGUCCGUAUGAACUUUUCCGAGAUUAAAAAAAAUACUUAUAUUUAAAGGUAGACCGGGUUUUUUUCUUGUUCAUAUCAAGUUUUGGGUAUUUCCUGCAUCUUUCUCGGGUGUACUUAAAUAUUGCAUGUAAGGAGUGAGUUUCUAGUAGGGGUAUACAAUAUUCUUGUCCUAAAUGAUAAAUUUCCAAAGUGUGUGCACUUCUUAAAGAGAGAGCGAGAUACCAAGGGAUAGUCUAACCUCAUAAUCUAGAAACAACUGACCCAGCCAUGGCUAAAAAUGAAAAAGACAAACAAACAACAGCACACACGACACAACAUAGAAAACUAAAGAAUAAACAACACGAACCCCAUUCUCAAGUAAUUCGCUUCGUGUUCAGUACGAUAUACUUCUUGUAAGUCGAUAUAUCAUCUAUCAAAUUCAUAUCAAGGCUACAAUUGUGUCAUAUUAUUUGAUCAGCUUCAUAUAAUGUAUUAUUUAAAUUUUAAUGAGAAGAUAUGAACGUUGAAAUUAAAAUUAACCUCGAAUGUUAGCUGUUUUUGUUAUCUGAUUCACACGUCAGAUAUUCCAUAUUUAUUUGAGAUAUUGAUGAUAAUGAAGGUCAACAUAUAAAUAAUUAAAAGUGCAUCAAAAUGUCUCCAAUAAGUCCAAUAAAUUAUUUCUGUUUUCUUGCAAGACCAUAUUGAUUUUAAACCCAUUUAUGGGAAAAUACUUUAUACAUUUGACUUAAACAUGUCAAACCGAUUUAUUAAUAAUGAUUAUGUCCUAGAAAUCAUUGAAGCAACAACGAUUUUAACACAAGUGAAUACUGAAACUUCAACAACCAUAUCACAGUGUAUAAACGCUUUUUGAGACGUUAAUAAUUGUACAGGAAAUUCUAAGAAGUUUGAUCUGGACAAAAUUUAAGAAUAAACAAAUACCAUAUGACAUAAUCAUCUAAUCAACCUACAAUCAAAUGACAAAACUGUCAAAACCGUGAGACCAAUACAAUCUUCACUUUAUCAUUUUGUUUUGAUAAAAUGGAUGAUUAUACUAACUAUAGUAAUUUGACAGAGUACGUGGUGCACUUAAACAUUCAUGCAGUUUAUUAUUUAACUAGCCGAGGUUUUACAAAUUUUAUAUCGUUUCAAGUAAAAUUAGUGUUGAAAUAGUUGAAUUAAGGAGUAUGAUGUUACAUGUAUAGACAGGCCAUCGGUUUUUUUUUUUACAUUUAAAAGAAAUUAUAACGAUUGUACCUGUAGGGAACUAUACGUCUUUUUAUAUAUAAUAUAAAUAUGUAUUUGAGGGAAUUCUGAACUUUUGUGUUUGGUUUCAGAUAGAAUGGAUGUAAAUCUGAAUUCUACAGUAAUGAAUAGUACCAACUCUCCGGGAAACGACAAGAAUAACAUAUUGUUAGCAGUGAGUAUCGUUUAAUAAAUAAAUUUGGUGUAUUUGUUGUCUUCUGAUUGGUUAAAAGUACUAUUUUUAUUUUCAAUGUUGUCAAUUUUUAUGGCGACACGUCCACUCUGACGUUGUGUAUUCAUACAAAAUAAUAUAAAAAGUUCUUUGAGCCUUAUUUUUUAUAGAAAUUUAUUUAUAAUGAAUGGCAAUAAUAUAUUUUGAAUUUAUUGAACAAUAAAAGUAUUUUUUUUUACUCUUCACAUUUUACAUAAUCCGCUUCGCGGCCAUUCAUUAAUUAUAAUACGAGUGCUAAGAUAAAACAAAUGUACACAAUUCAUUACAUUUUGUUUGCAGUCUAGUUAUUAUUGUUAAUAAAUUCCGGUUGCAGUAAAUAUACCUUUUUUUGUGAUAAAUACACCGCGUUUGUUUACUUUAAAGCCUGUUUGCAGUCCCGUUUAGAGUCAAUAAAUCUCUCAAGCUGUCAAUAAAUCCCUAUUGCAGUCUAUAAAAAUCCGAAUUUAUUCACAACAUCUCGUUUGCAGUUUAUAAAUUCCGGUGUAAUCACAGCAUCCCGAUCCGAGCCAAAACGUCCCGAUUGCAGUCAAUCAACCUAUGUUCGUGAUUAACAAAUUUAGUGUCUUUAUUCCUGGUAUGGGGGAAAAUGUGGUGCCCAUCAUUCUUCAAAGAAUAGAUACAUUUCAGAUUGUCCUAUUCUAAAUAAGUUGUUUUAUACCUGUUUUUAACAAAAAUGUUGACAUGAAUAUCAAUUAUAUGGUCAUUUUUAUAAAGGACUAGGUCCAGUAAGGGCCCAUUUUGGCCUAAAAUUUCAGGUUCAUCUGUUGAAAGAUAUUGUACACUUUUUUAAAAUUUUAAGUGUCUACUUCAGUCGAUUCAAUUUGUUUGUAUUUAAGAUUUCAACUGAUUUAGUCAUUUCAGACGCUCAUAUGUAAGCUUAAAAAAAAACUAUCAAAUAUGCCAUAAUAUGUUUCUUUUUCAGAUAGUUUUUGAAAAAAAUGAAAGUGGCCGCAUCCGUGUUCACCCUCAACCUUUAUAUAUGUUAUGUAUUAUAAUCAAAUACAACUUACAUUUAAAUAUUAAGAAUGAACACGAAUGCGGCCACUUCCAUUUAAAACGAAACGAAAACCGUCUAAAUUUCAACUCAAAUGCUAAAAUUGUGAAGAUUUCAGUAAUUUAGCAUGAUUUAAUGUGCAUUGUAUUGUCAAAAACAGACCAUAGCAGAAGUAUUUUACUUUCCAAUAAAUAGCUAAAUGUUUACUUUAUAAAAAUUUUGUAAAAUUGAUAUAUUUUGGGGCCAAAAAAGGGUUUACCUGAACUUACUCCUUUCCUGUUCAAAACUUUGAACUUUUCGAAAAAAUUACGGAUUUUCUUAUCCCAAGAAUAUAUUACCUUAGCCGUAUUUGGCACCACUGUUUGGACUGUUAGGUCCUCAAUGCUCUUGAACUUUGUACUUGUUUGGCUUUAUUACUACUUUUAUCUGACGAAUGGAAGUUUUAACAACCUUGACUGGCUAUACAGCCCUUGCACGGUCUGUAUAUGAGCGUCACUGAUGAGUCUUAUGUAGACGCAACGCGCGUCUGGCGUAAUAAAUUAUAAUCCUGGUAUCUCUGAUAACCAAUUAACGUUAUAUUGUUCAUUUCCAAUCGUUUUUAGGGAGACGGAUUUAUAAAAGAGGGAGACGGAUUAUAAAAGUUUUUCCAAACUUGUUCCGAAUCCCAUAUUUGUACUUUAUGUAACAUUGUAAUAUUUGUCUUGAAAUUGUUUAUAAUAAAUAUUGUUUAAACUAAUCGUUUUCCGAAUUUUUCAUUUUAUUUAAACAGUAUUGCUAAUAUAUUUUAUGAUCCCUACUUUAUCAAAACUUGAUAAAAAAUUUCGUAUCUGCAUAAUAAUCACUAACACAAAUGAAAUUUCCAUUCAACAUAGUUUGACAAAAAAUGAAUUGCUUUUUUAAUGCUUAUAAAAUCAAUAUUGAAAAAUCGGAUAGAAGAAAAAGAAUUCGACGCAAUGUGAUGACGUUUACUUUUUUAUUACUGCAGCAUGUUAUCAGUGUAAAAAGAGAGGAAAUGAAAAAAGAUAAUUUUAAGUAGAUAUGACAAGAAAAAUGUUUCAGGAAUAUGACAGUUGAUAUCCAUUCCUUUUUUGAUUUUACCAUUUGAUUAGGGACUUUCCAUUUUGAAUUUUCUUUGUUGCUCAGUAUUUCUAUACAAAAAUUCAUUUCUUUUUAGAUUUAUAUAUCUGGAUGGAUAUGUGUAGCAGAAGGCAUUUUGACAGUUAUUUUCAAUGGUCUAGUUAU